This 73-nucleotide transfer RNA is filed under the name Trichonephila clavipes. It matches the Rfam family "tRNA". From Rfam's summary of the family: Transfer RNA (tRNA) molecules are approximately 80 nucleotides in length. Their secondary structure includes four short double-helical elements and three loops (D, anti-codon, and T loops). Lineage: Eukaryota; Metazoa; Arthropoda; Arachnida; Araneae; Nephilidae. The record is from Rfam by way of RNAcentral.
GUUUCUGUAGCUCAAUGGACAGUGCGUUGGAUUUCUAAUCCAAAGGUCGUGGGUUCGAAUCCCACCUGGGGUG